Molecule: ribosomal RNA, 21 nt
Filed under: Paramecium bursaria
Lineage: Eukaryota; Ciliophora; Oligohymenophorea; Peniculida; Parameciidae
Also listed under: 4 other names
Description: partial 18S ribosomal RNA
Source: RNAcentral
AACCUGCGGAAGGAUCAUUAA